UUUUUAGAGUCCGUAUGUGUGGGGAAACCGAGACUAGGGCUGUUUUCGGAACCCUUCCCCAAGGGUUACGAAAUUGCCUCUCUUUUCCCCCAUAUAUACAGCCCUUAGGGCACCGUUUAGACUUGGGUUUUGUUUAGAUUUCAAGUUCGCCAUAGCUGCAACUUCGCGUUCUUCGUUUGUGUUCUACGACCAGACAAAGACGUCAUAGAACCCCACCUUCAUCAAUAAAGCUUUUCUCUUAUA
This 243-nucleotide long non-coding RNA is filed under the name Hordeum vulgare. Its description in RNAcentral is "long non-coding RNA (HVUL_LNC019064)". Lineage: Eukaryota; Viridiplantae; Streptophyta; Magnoliopsida; Poales; Poaceae. The record is from RNAcentral.